Molecule: ribosomal RNA, 2876 nt
Filed under: Stenotrophomonas maltophilia
Lineage: Bacteria; Pseudomonadati; Pseudomonadota; Gammaproteobacteria; Lysobacterales; Lysobacteraceae
Description: 23S ribosomal RNA
Rfam family: Bacterial large subunit ribosomal RNA
Source: RNAcentral
GGUCAAGCGAAUAAGCGCACACGGUGGAUGCCUUGGCGGUCAGAGGCGAUGAAGGACGUGGCAGCCUGCGAAAAGUAUCGGGGAGCUGGCAACAAGCUUUGAUCCGGUAAUGUCCGAAUGGGGAAACCACCCGCUUGCGGGUAUCCUGCAGUGAAUACAUAGCUGCUGGAAGCGAACCUGGUGAACUGAAAUAUCUAAGUAACCAGAGGAAAAGAAAUCAACCGAGAUUCCGUAAGUAGCGACGAGCGAACGCGGACUAGCCCUUAAGCUGAUUUGGUUCUAGGAAAACGCUCUGGAAAGAGCGGCCAUAGAAGGUGAUAGCCCUGUAUCUGAAAGGGCCAUUUCAGUGAAGACGAGUAGGGCGGGGCACGUGAAACCCUGUCUGAACAUGGGGGGACCAUCCUCCAAGGCUAAAUACUACUGACCGACCGAUAGUGAACCAGUACCGUGAGGGAAAGGCGAAAAGAACCCCGGAGAGGGGAGUGAAAUAGAACCUGAAACCGUGUGCGUACAAGCAGUAGGAGCUCCGCAAGGAGUGACUGCGUACCUUUUGUAUAAUGGGUCAGCGACUUACUGUUCGUGGCAAGCUUAACCGUAUAGGGGAGGCGAAGGGAAACCGAGUCUGAUAAGGGCGCAUAGUCGCGGGCAGUAGACCCGAAACCGGGUGAUCUAGUCAUGCCCAGGGUGAAGGUGCGGUAACACGCACUGGAGGCCCGAACCCACUCCCGUUGCAAAGGUAGGGGAUGAGGUGUGAUUAGGAGUGAAAAGCUAAUCGAACCCGGAGAUAGCUGGUUCUCCUCGAAAGCUAUUUAGGUAGCGCCUCAUAUGUAUCCUCUCGGGGGUAGAGCACUGUUAUGGCUAGGGGGUCAUCGCGACUUACCAAACCAUUGCAAACUCCGAAUACCGAGACGGACUGUAUGGGAGACACACGGCGGGUGCUAACGUCCGUCGUGAAAAGGGAAACAACCCAGACCCACAGCUAAGGUCCCAAAUUUUGUGCUAAGUGGAAAACCAUGUGGAAAGGCACAGACAGCCAGGAGGUUGGCUUAGAAGCAGCCACCCUUUAAAGAAAGCGUAAUAGCUCACUGGUCGAGUCGGUCUGCGGGGAAGAUUUAACGGGGCUAAGCACAGAACCGAAGCUUGGGGUGCAUAACUUUGUUAUGCGCGGUAGAGGAGCGUUCCGUAAGCCGUUGAAGGUGGAUUGAGAAGUCUGCUGGAGGUAUCGGAAGUGCGAAUGCUGACAUGAGUAACGAUAAUGCGGGUGAAAAACCCGCACGCCGAAAGCCCAAGGUUUCCUUGCGCAACGUUAAUCGGCGCAGGGUGAGUCGGCCCCUAAGGCGAGGACGAAAGUCGUAGUCGAUGGGAAGCAGGUUAAUAUUCCUGCACCUCGCGUAAGUGCGAUGGAGGGACGGAGAAGGUUAGGUGUACCAGGCGUUGGUUGUCCUGGGGAAAGGCGGUAGGUUUGGAUCUUUGGCAAAUCCGGGAUCCUUUAAGACCGAGCACCGAGACGAGCCUUUAUGGCGAAGUCACUGAUACCACGCUUCCAGGAAAAGCUCCUAAGCUUCAGCUUACGCAGACCGUACCGUAAACCGACACAGGUGGGUAGGAUGAGAAUUCUCAGGCGCUUGAGAGAACUCGGGUGAAGGAACUAGGCAACAUGGCACCGUAACUUCGGGAGAAGGUGCACCCUUUUUGGUGGCUCGUGCGAGCUAUAGCUGAAAGGGUCGCAGUAACCAGGCCGCUGCGACUGUUUAUCAAAAACACAGCACUCUGCAAACACGAAAGUGGACGUAUAGGGUGUGACGCCUGCCCGGUGCUGGAAGGUUAAUUGAUGGGGUCAGCCGCAAGGCGAAGCUCUUGAUCGAAGCCCCAGUAAACGGCGGCCGUAACUAUAACGGUCCUAAGGUAGCGAAAUUCCUUGUCGGGUAAGUUCCGACCUGCACGAAUGGCGUAACGACAGCGGCGCUGUCUCCACCCGAGACUCAGUGAAAUUGAAAUCGCUGUGAAGAUGCAGCGUUCCCGUGGCAAGACGGAAAGACCCCGUGAACCUUUACUAUAGCUUUACACUGAACGUUGAGUUCGUCUGUGUAGGAUAGGUGGGAGGCUAUGAAACUGUGGCGCUAGCUGCAGUGGAGCCAUCCUUGAAAUACCACCCUGUCGUGCUUGACGUUCUAACCUGGGCCCAUUAUCUGGGUCGGGGACCGUGUAUGGUGGGUAGUUUGACUGGGGCGGUCUCCUCCUAAAGAGUAACGGAGGAGCUCGAAGGUACGCUCAGCGCGGUCGGACAUCGCGCACUGUGUGCAAAGGCAUAAGCGUGCUUGACUGCAAGAUCGACGGAUCAAGCAGGUAGGAAACUAGGACUUAGUGAUCCGGUGGUUCUGUAUGGAAGGGCCAUCGCUCAACGGAUAAAAGGUACUCCGGGGAUAACAGGCUGAUACCGCCCAAGAGUUCAUAUCGACGGCGGUGUUUGGCACCUCGAUGUCGGCUCAUCACAUCCUGGGGCUGUAGUCGGUCCCAAGGGUAUGGCUGUUCGCCAUUUAAAGUGGUACGCGAGCUGGGUUCAGAACGUCGUGAGACAGUUCGGUCCCUAUCUGCCAUGGGCGUUGGAGAUUUGAGAGGGGCUGCUCCUAGUACGAGAGGACCGGAGUGGACGAACCUCUGGUGUUCCGGUUGUCACGCCAGUGGCAUUGCCGGGUAGAUGUUCGGAAGCGAUAACCGCUGAAAGCAUCUAAGCGGGAAGCGCGCCUCAAGAUGAGAUCUCCCGGGGCACAAGCCCCCUGAAGGAACCAUGUAGACUACGUGGUUGAUAGGUCAGGUGUGUAAGUACAGCAAUGUAUUGAGCUAACUGAUACUAAUGAUCCGUGCGGCUUGACCAU